AGACGACUGGCGGCGUGCCUAACACAUGCAAGUCGAACGGGGCAAUUCCUUCGGGGAUUGCUUAGUGGCGAACGGGUGAGUAACGCGUGAGAAACCUGCCUUUCAGUGGGGGACAACAGUUGGAAACGACUGCUAAUACCGCAUAAUGUUAUUUGGGGGCAUCCCCGAAUAACCAAAGAUUUAUUGCUGAAAGAUGGUCUCGCGUCUGAUUAGCUAGUUGGUGAGGUAACGGCUCACCAAGGCGACGAUCAGUAGCCGGUCUGAGAGGAUGAACGGCCACAUUGGGACUGAGAUACGGCCCAG
This 303-nucleotide ribosomal RNA is filed under the name uncultured bacterium. Its description in RNAcentral is "bacterial SSU rRNA". It matches the Rfam family "Bacterial small subunit ribosomal RNA", at positions 36 to 334 of the family's 1533-position model. The record is from RNAcentral.